RNAcentral lists this non-coding RNA (1670 nucleotides) under Cryptosporidium parvum. The record is from RNAcentral. Lineage: Eukaryota; Apicomplexa; Conoidasida; Eucoccidiorida; Cryptosporidiidae.
GCAUUAUUGAACAAAUUAAAAUAUAAAAAAUGACAUUUUAUCCAGUAAUUAUUUAACUUUGCAAAAAAUGACCCCUCACUAAUUGCUGAAUGAUAAAGUAACUCUGUCAGUCAUAUUUAAUAAACUAAUAAAAUUCGGAACUUCGAUUGACCAUUUCAACUGGGUUUAGUGCUCUAAAUGUCUUGAGUUCAUUUGAUUCUACCUUACUACACGUUAAUGUAUUCAUUAUACAACCAGAGAAACCACUUCUUUUUUGAACUUUUUUUAUAGGAAGAAAUGGAUUUGGAUGGGCCUUCGUGACACCAUUGUUUAUAAUACUAUUACUUUCAAUUGAUUUGCUCAUAGCAGUUUGCUGUUUAUUUUGGAAAACUUCACAAUUACUAGAGUCCUUUUCCAAUAAUCUAGGCGCAUUAUGCAACGAUUCAGCAUGUUGAAAAUCUGUAUUAGUUUCAAUAUUUGUGACACCUCCUUGGUCAAAUUCCAAAUAUUCUGGUAUAUCUCUUGUUAGAUCUACAACAUCUCUUGCUUGAUCUUGAAUAUCCCUUUCUAUUUCUGAAAAGAUUCUUCCUGCUUCAUCAAUUGUACUAUUUAUUAUUUUGGAGUUAUUUUUCGAAGAAUUAGUCUCUCCUUUAACUUCAUAAUUAUCUACAUUAUGACUAGCAUGUGAUUUUGGAUGCUGCAAAUAGUUUUCAUUAUUGAAUGUUCUUUUCCCGUCCAUAUUUGGGGUGAAUUCAUUGCUUUUAAAAUGAUUUUUCACCCCAUUUUCUUCCAGAGAGGACCUCCUCCUACUCUGUGACCUUGAGCGGUCAAUAUAGCUGUGAUUAUGACCCUUUGGUGAAUUAGAAGAAUCGGCAGCAUACCCAUGGUUUAGUUCUUGAAAUUCCCUAGGAGUCUGAAUCUUUGGAAUAUCCCCAAUGCUUAUUGAAGAAUCUGGAUUUGUAUUGGUUGUAAAGUUAAUAUGUGCUUUUGCAUUUCUUCCCCCAGAAAUUUCAUACUCAAUUGCAGGUCCUGUUGGAGUAGAUAUUACAUUAAUAUCAACGCCAGGCUUGAUAUGCAACUCAGUUACAACAUUUUGAGUAUCUGGAUCAGCAAAAAUAGUUGCUUUAGAGUUAUUACUUUCACAAUCUGGAAGCAUAUGAAAAACUAUGGUCUGUUUACCAGAUGGGGUAACUACAGGAAAUUUCUCUGGAGAAUUCCCAGACCGGUCAUUACCAUGUUUAUUUAAUCCUAGCCUAGAGCUUGCUAAAGACCUGGAUGUCAAAUUACCCAUUCUUGGAGUAUUCAAUACUGAAGUUCUGUGUUGAUUAACAGGAGAAACCAAUCCUUCAGAAGUCUCAACAGGUUCCAAUAUUCCUAUUUUUGGAGGAGGGCCUCUUCCUGUACUUUUUGUAGGAGAAAGGAGAUCAGGAGAAGUAGCCCUUCUGGAACCACCUGCUGAGAUUGGAAGAUUAUUUGUGUCAUUACAAUGUUCAAACUCUGAUGGAACUCCUAAUACAGUAUUUCUAUGACCUGAUGAAACUGGGGUCAUAUUUAGUGAGGAUUCCCUUAACGCUUCAUUUGGAUUUAUUUCACCAUUUCUAGCAUUUCUAUAGUUUGAUUCGAAUACUUCUCCAGGAAUUUGAUCAGCUUGAUUUGCAGAUCUUCUAUCUUUAAAAUUAUUAAUAUGUUGC